AUUGAACGCUGGCGGCAUGCCUUACACAUGCAAAUCGAACGGUAACGGGCCUUCGGGUGCCGACGAGUGGCGAACGGGUGAGUAAUACAUCGGAACGUGCCCGAUCGUGGGGGAUAACGAGGCGAAAGCUUUGCUAAUACCGCAUACGAUCUACGGAUGAAAGCAGGGGACCGCAAGGCCUUGCGCGGACGGAGCGGCCGAUGGCAGAUUAGGUAGUUGGUGGGAUAAAAGCUUACCAAGCCGACGAUCUGUAGCUGGUCUGAGAGGAUGAUCAGCCACACUGGGACUGAGACACGGCCCAGACUCCUACGGGAGGCAGCAGUGGGGAAUUUUGGACAAUGGGCGCAAGCCUGAUCCAGCCAUGCCGCGUGCAGGAUGAAGGCCUUCGGGUUGGAAACUGAUUUUGUACGGAACGAAAAGCCUUCUUUUAAUACAGGAGGGUCAUGACGGUACCGUAAGAAUAAGCACCGGCUAACUACGUG
This 482-nucleotide ribosomal RNA is filed under the name uncultured bacterium. RNAcentral's name for it is "partial 16S ribosomal RNA". It matches the Rfam family "Bacterial small subunit ribosomal RNA", at positions 30 to 507 of the family's 1533-position model. The record is from RNAcentral.